Cladochytrium tenue is the source of this 72-nucleotide non-coding RNA. The record is from the annotation of a GenBank genome assembly. NCBI's taxonomy places the organism in Eukaryota, Fungi, Chytridiomycota, Chytridiomycetes, Cladochytriales, Cladochytriaceae.
GGGACUUUAGUCUAGUGGUAUGAUUUCUGCUUUGGGUGCAGGAGGUCCCGAGUUCGAACCUCGGAAGUCCCC